CCCAAAUCUCCCAAAACCGAACGCCUCUCUCUCCCUCCCUCUGUCUCUCACUCUCUGAUCCAACCGGCGGCGGCAGCGGCGACCGUCGGCGGGGGGGAUCCGGCGGUUUCUCCCGCUCCCUAUGCUCUGACCGCCUCGGCCCCACCCCGACGCGCCGGUGUCGCCUCCGCCGCCAUGGGCUCCAUCGAGCCCUUCAACCGGCUGGUGCGGCUGGCGGCGCGCGCCUUCUACGACGACAUCUCCAUGAAGGGCGACAACCAGCCCAAGACCUCCCGCGGGGACAACCGCGGCAUGGCCGUCGUCGUCCUCGACGCACUCACCAGACGCCAGUGGGUCCGGGAGGAAGAUUUGGCUAAAGCAUUGAAGCUCCACUCGAAGCAGCUGCGACGCAUUCUCCGAUUCUUUGAAGAAGAGAAGCUAGUCACGAGAGAUCACCGGAAGGAGUCUGCAAAAGGAGCAAAAGUAUAUAAUGCUGCUGCUGCAGCUGCCAGUGAUGGUCAACCAGUGCUUAAGGAGGGAGAAGAGAAAGUAAAGAUGCACACACAUUCAUACUGUUGCUUGGAUUAUGCUCAGAUCUGUGAUGUUGUAAGGUACCGGAUACACCGCAUGAAGAAAAAACUGAAGGAUGAAUUGGACAGCAGAAAUACAAUUCAACACUAUAUAUGUCCUAGUUGUAAUAAAAGGUACUCAGCCUUUGAUGCACUACAGCUGGUAAGCUACAUGGAUGAGUACUUCCAUUGUGAAACUUGCAACGAUGAACUGGUUGCAGAGAGUGACAAGCUUGCUUCUGAGGAAAUGGGAGAUGGUGAUGACAAUGCAAGAAAGCGUAGGCGUGAGAAAUUGAAGGACAUGCAGCAAAGAAUUGAUGAGCAAUUGAAGCCAUUGGUUGCACAACUUGAGAGAGUGAAGAAUCUGCCUGCGCCUGAGUUUGGGAGCCUACAAUCAUGGGAAAGAGCAAAUAUUGGUGCUUUUGCACAUGGUGACCCUGGUGCAGCUGAUUCAUCUAGGAACUCACAAGGGCCAUAUAAUGGUACGCCAAUGCCAUACAUUGGAAACACAGAGGUUGAAGUUGAAAUAGGUGAUGGUGUCAAAGAAGAAGGUGCUGAAUCUGGUAAAAAUGGUAAACAUCAGAAAGUCGUACCUAGAUGGAUGAUCAGAGAAGGCAUGAAUCUUACAAAGGAACAAAGAGGAGAGCCCAGUAGCACAUCGGAACUGGAUGAAAAAUCAGAAGGCAAGGAUGACAAAAAACAGGACUCAAAAGAUGAGAAGAGUAUACAGGAGGAAUACAUAAAGGCUUAUUAUGAGGCCUUGUGGAAAAAGCAGGAAGAGGGGGAUGCAAAAAAGAGAAUGCAGGAGGAAGGCGAGAGAUGUGUCUCUGAUUCUCAAUCUGAACGCCAGAUGGGCAAGAAAUACAAACGUGAGGAUGAGGAUGAGGGUAUUGAAUGGGAAGAGGAGCAAUCUGCAGGGAAUACAACCGAGACAUACAAAUUGGCAGAUUUGAAUGCAGAGGCGCAAGAAUCUGGCGACGAUGAAGAAGAGAUUCACUGGGAAGAUGGGUAAAACUUGAAAAGGGUAGCGUGUGACCCCUUGCUCGCUCUUGAAUUUUGUCGAACUCGUUGAAGCACAAUAUGUCAUGGAUUGUAAAAAAAAUAUUCCAGGACUUAGAAGCAAAUUAACAUUUGCCAUAUUAUUGCGAGGAGUUACUUUAGACUGUUAUGCUGUCGACAAUUUGACGAAGCUGCGGAGAGUUGCAUAGAGUGAACUAGCAUGGAAGAUGUGGUCUAGGUCCGACUGGUGUGAGCACGAAGGAACAUAUCAAAUUUUCGUUGGACGAGAACUUGCCACGGAGUACAAAGACUACAGCUUCGGAAAGGAUUUCCACCAAUAAAACUUUUAAAUAGAAAAUUUGAUUGAAAA
Molecule: RNA transcript, 1917 nt
Organism: Phragmites australis (common reed)
Lineage: Eukaryota; Viridiplantae; Streptophyta; Magnoliopsida; Poales; Poaceae
Gene name: transcription factor efuD-like
Exons: 11
Source: RefSeq, a predicted model, not a curated record